Molecule: ribosomal RNA, 447 nt
Filed under: uncultured bacterium
Lineage: Bacteria
Description: partial 16S ribosomal RNA
Rfam family: Bacterial small subunit ribosomal RNA
Source: RNAcentral
AACGAACGUUGGCGGCAGGCCUAACACAUGCAAGUCGAACGCCCCGCAAGGGGAGUGGCGCACGGGUGAGUAACGCGUGGGAAUAUGCCCUUCGGUUCGGAAUAACACAGGGAAACUUUUGCUAAUACCGGAUACGAUCUACGGAUGAAAGAUUUAUCGCCGAGGGAGUAGCCCGCGUAGGAUUAGCUAGUUGGUGAGGUAAUGGCUCACCAAGGCGACGAUCCUUAGCUGGUCUGAGAGGAUGAUCAGCCACACUGGGACUGAGACACGGCCCAGACUCCUACGGGAGGCAGCAGUGGGGAAAAUUGGACAAUGGGCGAAAGCCUGAUCCAGCCAUGCCGCGUGAGUGAUGAAGGCCUUAGGGUUGUAAAGCUCUUUCGCCAGGGAAGAUAAUGACGGUACCUGGAAAAGAAGCCUCGGCUAACUCCGUGCCAGCCGCCGCGGUAA